GAUGAAGAACGUAGCGAAAUGCGAUAAGUAAUGUGAAUUGCAGAAUUCAGUGAAUCAUCGAAUCUUUGAACGCACAUUGCGCCCCCUGGUAUUCCGGGGGGCAUGCCUGUCCGAGCGUCAUUACAACCCUCAAGCUCAGCUUGGUGUUGGGCCCCGCCGCCCCGGCGGGCCCUAAAGUCAGUGGCGGUGCCGUCCGGCUCCGAGCGUAGUAAUUCUUCUCGCUCUGGAGGUCCGGUCGUGUGCUCGCCAGCAACCCCCAAUUUUUUUCAGGUUGACCUCGGAUCAGGUAGGGAUACCCGCUGAACUUAAGCAUAUCAAAAAGCGGAGGA
This 329-nucleotide unclassified non-coding RNA is filed under the name soil metagenome. Its description in RNAcentral is "partial contains 5.8S ribosomal RNA, internal transcribed spacer 2, and large subunit ribosomal RNA". The stretch from base 1 to 120 matches the Rfam family "5.8S ribosomal RNA", at positions 35 to 154 of the family's 154-position model. The record is from RNAcentral.